GUCAGGCACCGGCGGCAUCAGCAGGCAAUCGGCGCCGGCAAGAACGGCGCGCACCGCCGCUUCCCCUGGAGCGAAUCGAACCGUGAUCCCGCCCAUGUCCAUCGCGUCGGUAAUCACCAGUCCCUGAAAACCAAGGUCCUUGCGCAGCAGGUCCGUAAGAAUAUGCGAAGAAAGUGUCGCGGGCGUGUUGGAGUCCGGCUCGAGCGCCGGCACGUUCAGGUGGCCCGUCAUGAUGCUCUCUACGCCGGCGGCAAUCGCGGCGCGGAAGGGAACAAGCUCCAGCGAUUCGAGGCGCUGGCGGUUCGCUUGAAUCACCG
Molecule: unclassified non-coding RNA, 317 nt
Filed under: uncultured fungus
Lineage: Eukaryota; Fungi
Description: sequence contains ITS1
Source: RNAcentral